Molecule: transfer RNA, 75 nt
Filed under: Deltaproteobacteria bacterium
Lineage: Bacteria; Pseudomonadati; Myxococcota; Myxococcia
Also listed under: 2 other names
Description: tRNA-Ala
Rfam family: tRNA
About the family: Transfer RNA (tRNA) molecules are approximately 80 nucleotides in length. Their secondary structure includes four short double-helical elements and three loops (D, anti-codon, and T loops).
Source: RNAcentral
GGGGGUGUAGCUCAGUGGGAGAGCGCCUGCCUUGCACGCAGGAGGUCAUCGGUUCGAACCCGUUCACCUCCACCA